Molecule: non-coding RNA, 423 nt
Filed under: Candidimonas nitroreducens
Lineage: Bacteria; Pseudomonadati; Pseudomonadota; Betaproteobacteria; Burkholderiales; Alcaligenaceae
Description: cspA thermoregulator
Rfam family: cspA thermoregulator
Source: Rfam by way of RNAcentral
UGCACUUGAAAUCAAGCCGUAUACGGGUUCGUUUUGCUUGAUUCAUGCUUUGAUUGCAUAAAUGGCAUUCAUGGCGGAAUCGAGCCCGGUUCUUGUCGGCGUUCUUGGUUCAUUGCAAUUUUGUUUAUUUUUAGGACGCUACACAUCAUGGCUCAAAAGGGCAAAGUUAAGUGGUUCAACGCCGAUAAAGGCUUCGGUUUCAUUACUCCCGACGCUGGCGGUUCCGACGUGUUCGCUCACUUCUCCGCUAUCGAAGGCCGCGGCUAUCGCAGCUUGAACGAAGGUCAGGAAGUUGAAUUCGAAGUCAAAGAUGGCCCCAAAGGCCCGCAAGCCGCGGAGAUCCGCCCUCUAUAAUCUUUGCUAGAUUUGUGUAGUUUUCUGCACAGAUUUUCAGCGCCCCGGUGUAUAACCGGGGCGUUUUUG